GACGAACGCUGGCGGCGUGCUUAACACAUGCAAGUCGAACGGUGAAGCCCUUCGGGGUGGAUCAGUGGCGAACGGGUGAGUAACACGUGAGCAACCUGCCCCUGGCUCUGGGACAACCACUGGAAACGGUGGCUAAUACCGGAUACGACCCGCCUCGGCAUCGAGUGUGGGUGGAAAGUUUUUCGGCUGGGGAUGGGCUCGCGGCCUAUCAGCUUGUUGGUGAGGUGAAGGCUCACCAAGGCGACGACGGGUAGCCGGCCUGAGAGGGCGACCAGCCACACUGGGACUGAGACACGGCCCAGACUCCUACGGGAGGCAGCAGUGGGGAAUAUUGCACAAUGGGCGAAAGCCUGAUGCAGCGACGCCGCGUGAGGGAUGACGGCCUUCGGGUUGUAAACCUCUUUCAGCUCCGAAGAAGCGAAAGUGACGGUAGGAGCAGAAGAAGCACCGGCUAACUACGUG
This 462-nucleotide ribosomal RNA is filed under the name uncultured bacterium. RNAcentral describes it as "partial 16S ribosomal RNA". It matches the Rfam family "Bacterial small subunit ribosomal RNA", at positions 28 to 507 of the family's 1533-position model. The record is from RNAcentral.